This 253-nucleotide ribosomal RNA is filed under the name uncultured bacterium. Its description in RNAcentral is "partial 16S ribosomal RNA". It matches the Rfam family "Bacterial small subunit ribosomal RNA", at positions 524 to 776 of the family's 1533-position model. The record is from RNAcentral.
UACGUAGGGUGCAAGCGUUAAUCGGAAUUACUGGGCGUAAAGCGUGCGCAGCCGGUUGCGUAAGUCAGAUGUGAAAGCCCCGGGCUCAACCUGGGAAUUGCAUUUGAGACUGCGUAGCUAGGGUGCGGAAGAGGGAAGCGGAAUUUCCGGUGUAGCGGUGAAAUGCGUAGAUAUCGGAAGGAACACCAGUGGCGAAAGCGGCUUCCUGGUCCAGCACCGACGUUCAGGCACGAAAGCGUGGGGAGCGAACAGG